CUAGUGUGAUUUGCAAAUUUUCGAUUUUUUUCGUUUGGAUAUAUUUCGCUCAAGAAAAGCUAUAUUUCGCUCAAGAAAAGCUAAAUUUCGAUUGGAUAAGUGACUCUAAGUCCUGCUAAAGGCUUAUUGAUCUCAGGUAUGUAUUAUUUAUCACUUAUUUACUGAGACCGAGGGAAACAGUGUGUUUUGUGGACCCGAGACCGUCGAUGUUUCCCGAGGCGAAGCCGAGGGAAACAUCGACGGUCGAGGGUCCACAAAACACACUGCUUUCCCGAGGUCUCAGUAAAUAAGUGUUUUAUUAUAUAUCAAUAGUCAAAGAAACAACAAAUUAAAGAACAAAUGAACGUAAAUACACGAAAUAUUUUAUUGUUAAAACGUUAUAUUAAACACUGGCUACACUGCAGUUACUUAAAGCGAAAGUUUUAAUUACGUACUAGGAAUGUCCAAAGGUCGCAUCUUCACGUGAUGGCGCACGUGAUUUCUUUUGUUAUUCGCCGGUCGAUAACGUAUUAUCUCCCUCUCGCGCUGUUGCGAGGGAGACAGCCUAAUUUCGUCACUCUCACGUGAUAUGCUCUCAACCAAUAAAACACUAGAAAAAUGCGACUUUGACUAUUGAUAUAUAAUAAUACUCUUUAUAUCAUAUAAUUAUAACGUCCAUCGACCCUAUUUAUAUUUCAUUCUGCUAAAAUUUGAAUUUGCGCGCACGAGAUUUUAUAUAUUGAAAUUAUUUCAUUUCAAUGCCGCCAAAUAUUAGUUAAAACCAACAAUUCAAAUUUUGAACAAGCACAUUAUAGUAAAUACUGGGUUGCACUUGUUUGACAAAACUCGAGAAAGCAUCUUUGAACCCACACAGUGUAUUAAUAUUUGAAACAAUAUGUGAAAUGUGAAUAUGGGUUUGCUUUGCUACAAGUCUAUUUAAGCCAAACCAUGAGAAUUAUUUGAGAGUAUUAAUUAAAUUAUGUUCUUUUAAUCACCUCUCCCCUGGAUUUCCAAGGUCUUUCAAGUCAUUGAGUGCCACUGAGCUCUCUCCCCUUGACAAGUAAAAUCACAUAGGCAUUAACUCUGCCUAGGGUUACUGGCCGGGUUAGACUGAGUAAAAUUAGUGGUGUUUACACUACAAGCCUUGGCCAGGCCAAGAUAAAUGUGGCAUGUUUACACCAUUGCACUAUUUUUUUGAGGUCUACAGGCUCACUUUGGCCAAGAAUUUUGUUAUUAAUUUUGUGUAUUUUUAUGUGUUGUGAUGUUGUCUGCUGGUUGUCUGCUAAUCUCUCACUGUGGACACAUGUUACCAUGAAAAUCAGUCCCCGGCCAGGGCCGAAAGUGUUUACAUUUCCACAAGCCAGGUAGGCUUACGCCAGGUCUGUUGUAGUGAGUCCAGAUUUCCUGGCCUAGGUCAGGACAAGGCUGGGCCAUUUCCACAAGCCUAGGCUUAGGCCAGGUCGGUUGUAGUAAGCCCAUAUUUCCUGGCCUAGGUCAGGGCAAGGCUAGACACAAGGCUGGUAGUGUAAACACGACUAUUGAAUGCAUCAGGGUGCAUUACGACUAAAUGGUUAGUGUUUCCCACAAUAUGGUAAAAAAGUAUAAACUUUUGCUAGCUUGAGCUUGGAUGAUUUCCAAGCUAAACCCUUCUAGAGUUUACCCUGUAUACAUGUGCCUGUUUAUAUGAUAAUGGCAUGACUGGACAGUAUGUUUUAAUCCAGGACUAUAGACGGAAUACACCCCGCCUGGCAGGAAUGAUAGAGUGCUUACUGUAUAUGAGAAUUUCUUGUCCUGGCAGGUGGGAUCCUGUCUAGGCCAGAUAGAAGUAGAAUAAUUCACUUUAAUUACUAAACAGUUGAUAGAGUUCACAUUGCAUGCUGGAUCAUGCCGGCGGUAUCAUAAUAAUUACAAAGUGGCUACAGUAUGAUGCUUGUGAUGUUACUCUGAGUGUAUAUCCACAACGGGCAAGCUUGAAAAAUAUGAAGGAUUUCAGCAAGCUCAAAAAUAGAUCACAAGGUUAGGCAGAUGGCUGCUGUGCUGUAGUCUGUGGUUCGAACCCGAGUUGGGACAGGUUUUUGUUCACCUUAACUAAACAUGUCUUUUUUUCUGAUUAGUUUUAUUUUUUAGGGGUAGAGGUUAGGAUUAGUUUUGUUUGAAUUUGACUUUAACUAUAAAUACAACCUGUGUGGAGACUAAGAAUGAGAGUGCCAUAAAUAUAGCCUGGCAAAGUUUGUUUACGGGCCUGAAGAUAUACAGUAGCCACUUUGUAAUAAUUAUUUAUAAAAGCAAUUUAAUUAUAAUUAAAUGGAUCAAAUGAUUGGAUAAUUACUGCAGACUUUAUAAAAACAGUCUAAGCUUACAACGGCAUAUUAAUUACAAGAGUAUGCACCAGCAUACUUGAGAGUAAAAUGGUCUGGCAUUAGACAGAGUACAAUAAUCUGGCAUUUAAAAGACAGUAAAAUAAGGAAGUAGGGCACACAAGGGUUAGGGUACAAUACAACUUAAUGGGUUCACUAGACACAUGGCCAUAUUAACCCAACAAAACAGAAAUACUUCUCAAGAAGUUUAGCAGGACAUUAAGAUGGGGUGUUAACUGGAUAUUACACUAGGCCGAACAUGCAUAAACUGCAUUGUACCACAACUUUAUUGUUUUAAGGCGGUUUUCCAGUCCUCGCACAAAGCUCCUUGCAGCUCGCUGCGAGGGCUUGUAUCUAAUUAAAAUUAACUGUUUAGCAUUGUGAUUGGAUGAAACUGCUCAUGCAUGCACUCGCAGCGAGCUGCGAGGAGCUUCGUGUGAGAACUGGAAAACCGCCUAUACUCUGUCUGAUGGGUCGUUCCAGAAAAGAUCCACUCUCCCCUGGGCACAGAGGAAAUUUCUACCGUCAGGAGGGGAGGGGAGAAAAAAUUGUUUCUGAUAAUAGUAAGUGUAUUAGGACAUUCAAAUUUCGAAGGGGAUAGGGGAUUAACUUCCAAUCUCCUUCAUACAUAAUCUUAUGAAUCUAUUCAAAGUUUUCUGGAAUGAGCCAAUAGCAUAUUAAAUCACAAAUACCAACAACCAGUAGCAGAUACCUCGUAAAAUAUUGGGGGUACUGUUGAGAUGUCUGUUAACAAAUCCUAUCUAGUGCAUAUUUCUCUUGUUCACCCAUUCACUGGCAAUAUGCUCUACUUUAUAUUACUCUGUCUAAUGCCAGCAAAUUUUACAGUUUUACUUGUUGAGAAGAUAGCCUUGAAGCAGUUUCCAAUUUGCCAUGUUUCGCCCACACAGAGAAUACAGUACAUUACAGGGGAUGAGAAGGGUAAAAGCCAUAUGAACCAAGGGUUAUCAAUUAUGAUAAUACUAGAACCAACUUCAACCAAAGGUUGGGUUGUGCUACUACAUUAGGUCUUCCCAUUCGUAAUAAUGUGCAAAGUUUAUAGGUUGGACAGGAGGGAAUUGCUCAUAUAUUGCUGCAUGCGAACUGUGAACUUGUACUAUAUACUGUAAUGUUAGCUGACCGGUACAUGAAAUACAGUAUGUAGAGCUAAUGAUAGUCUUGUAUUUCCUUUCUUAUAGCUCAUGUGACUAAACGUUUUGCGGGAGCAACAGCUUCAUCAGUGAAAGGUGCCAUGGCCCAAAAGUGCAAAGACAAAAGAAAUGCUGAUAUGAAAAGAAGAAAAAUUGCAGAAGACAUUUGAACUGCUAAGUUUUUUCCUUAUUAUAAAUUAUUUUGUAUGGUAGCUAAACAUUUGUAGAAAUUAACUGUAUUAAUAAAUUAUUUAAACUUCCUAUAUAUACCAUUACAGUAUCUCACUGUUUAACAGGUUAAAUGUGCAUGAUUGAAGCUUUGCAUAAUUUCACAUGUGAAACUGGAACAUGUGAUAUUUCACAUGUGUAUUUGGAACAUGUGAUAUCUCACAUGUGAAGUUCCACAUGUCAACACGUGUGAAAUUAUGUGUUUCACAGGUAAAGUUUCUCAUGUGAAGUUUCACAUGUGAAUUUGGA
Molecule: non-coding RNA, 3961 nt
Organism: Paramuricea clavata
Lineage: Eukaryota; Metazoa; Cnidaria; Anthozoa; Malacalcyonacea; Plexauridae
Source: the annotation of a GenBank genome assembly